AGAUGUUUCCCGCGGCGCUUAUUCAUGACGUCAGUUCCGGCGUCCGACCCCUCGACUUCCUGCAUUUGCUGCCAAGAUGGCUGACUCAAUGGCUAUUCAUCUGGAGUUCGGCGUGCAUGUCGACUGUGGCGUGCAGUCAAAUCCUGGCCCAAGUCGGAGGGCUGGACCUGCACAACAAAAACCUAACAGAUGCAGGAUUAAUACUAAUAACACUCUCUCUGCUGCAUGAAGGAAAACAGGAGACCCUGCCAGGUCAACAUUUAAUCCACUUUUUUUUAAAUGUAUUUAUAGAACUGCAUGAAACAGGUUGAAGUAUUUUCUUGAUUUCCUGUUGCUGCUAAGUGGAUGUAUGGGCAGGGCCAGGACAUUAUUGGAUGAAUAAUUGAAGGUAGUAGUGUCAUCAUGCAUGCAAAUGUAGUCGUAGUCCUGCUUUUAAAGACAUUUUGCCAUUGCUGCACAACGGAGGUGAAUGGAAAUAAAACUCUGUAUGGGGCAAUCUUUUCAUAUUUGAAUUUUUACCCAAAUAAAAUGGUUGUAGUACUUUCAAAACUUG
Molecule: long non-coding RNA, 553 nt
Organism: Nerophis ophidion (straightnose pipefish)
Lineage: Eukaryota; Metazoa; Chordata; Actinopteri; Syngnathiformes; Syngnathidae
Exons: 2
Source: RefSeq, a predicted model, not a curated record